GACGAACGCUGGCGGCGUGCCUAACACAUGCAAGUCGAACGGUGAACCGGGCUUCGGCCCGGGGAUCAGUGGCGAACGGGUGCGUAACACGUGGGCAACCUGCCCCCGACAUCGGGAUAACCCCAGGAAACCGGGGCUAAUACCGGAUACUCCGGCCGAACCACAUGGUGCGGCCGGGAAAGGUCCGCCUGUCGGGGAUGGGCCCGCGGCCUAUCAGCUUGUUGGUGGGGUAAUGGCCCACCAAGGCGUCGACGGGUAGCNGGUCUGAGAGGACGACCAGCCACACUGGGACUGAGACACGGCCCAGACUCCUACGGGAGGCAGCAGUGGGGAAUCUUGCGCUAAUGCGCGAAAGCGUGACGCAGCGACGCCGCGUGGGGGACGAAGGCCCUCGGGUCGUAAA
RNAcentral lists this ribosomal RNA (403 nucleotides) under uncultured bacterium. RNAcentral's name for it is "bacterial SSU rRNA". It matches the Rfam family "Bacterial small subunit ribosomal RNA", at positions 28 to 429 of the family's 1533-position model. The record is from RNAcentral.